AGCCCGCUUUUUAAAAUACACACACGCUUCGUCACAUACGACAGGGUCCCACAAGGGUGCCGUAUGGGAAGUGUGGAGGCCUAAC
This 85-nucleotide small RNA is filed under the name Legionella micdadei. RNAcentral's name for it is "Tatlockia micdadei t44 RNA". It matches the Rfam family "t44 RNA". From Rfam's summary of the family: This family consists of a number of bacterial RNA genes of between 135 and 170 bases in length. The t44 gene is found between the map and rpsB genes in all species in the full alignment apart from Shigella flexneri. The function of this RNA is unknown. Lineage: Bacteria; Pseudomonadati; Pseudomonadota; Gammaproteobacteria; Legionellales; Legionellaceae. The record is from Rfam by way of RNAcentral.